CCUUUGAUGACGACUGGCGCACGGGUGAGUAACGCGUAUCCAACCUUCCCAUAACUACGGGAUAACCCGUUGAAAGACGGCCUAAUACCGUAUGACAUCGUUUGCUGACAUCAAAUAACGAUUAAAGGUUUAGCGGUUAUGGAUGGGGAUGCGUCUGAUUAGCUUGUUGGCGGGGUAACGGGCCCACCAAGGCGACGAUCAGUAGGGGUUCUGAGAGGAAGGUCCCCCACAUUGGAACUGAGACACGGUCCAA
This 253-nucleotide ribosomal RNA is filed under the name uncultured Bacteroidales bacterium. RNAcentral's name for it is "partial 16S ribosomal RNA". It matches the Rfam family "Bacterial small subunit ribosomal RNA", at positions 82 to 334 of the family's 1533-position model. The record is from RNAcentral. Lineage: Bacteria; Pseudomonadati; Bacteroidota; Bacteroidia; Bacteroidales.